UUUAUUAGGGUGAAGCAAAUGACGAAGACACCCUCUCUGUGUGUUCUGAAACCAUUGCUGAGGUGAAUGCAUUUGUUUUUUUGUUUAUGGCACACAUUUUAAUGUCACACAAAUGUGACUGGCCCUUAUCUUUUAUUGUAGGAUUUUUCACAACCUGCCCCACAAACUGAUGCCUCUACCUCAAUGGGCUUCAGAAGGAAUGUGAACAAGGUGGAAACUGACUCAGUCAGGGCCCUUUACAAAAGGAGCCUAGAAUUGGACUGCACUCUAAAGGAGCUGGACUGUGAGCUGAGGAGCCUCCAAAUUAAAAAAAUUAAAUUGGAGAUCAAACAACUGGAAAAACAGAUCUCACCACAUCAACAAUAAAACCAUUUGAGAC
Long non-coding RNA from Onychostoma macrolepis, 379 nucleotides. RefSeq lists it as uncharacterized. The record is from RefSeq and is a predicted model, not a curated record. NCBI's taxonomy places the organism in Eukaryota, Metazoa, Chordata, Actinopteri, Cypriniformes, Cyprinidae. The transcript has 3 exons.